CUUAUGGAGCUGGUGGUCCUUCUCAAAGUUCUGCAGCAAUCCCAACAAGCCGUGGUAGUUCACUGUAGGCUUUGUCAUUCAAAAAUGAGUAAGGAAGGGGAGGAAGGACUUGGGUAAUGAAUUAAGGAUCGCAUCCUUAUCGAGCUGCUCGUGCAGGGGAAAGCCCAGUUUACUUAGGCGCUCAAUCAUUUCGAUCAUGUAC
RNAcentral lists this long non-coding RNA (202 nucleotides) under Elaeis guineensis (African oil palm). Its description in RNAcentral is "long non-coding RNA (EGUI_LNC058866)". The record is from RNAcentral. Lineage: Eukaryota; Viridiplantae; Streptophyta; Magnoliopsida; Arecales; Arecaceae.